Molecule: ribosomal RNA, 253 nt
Filed under: uncultured bacterium
Lineage: Bacteria
Description: partial 16S ribosomal RNA
Rfam family: Bacterial small subunit ribosomal RNA
Source: RNAcentral
UACGUAGGGUGCGAGCGUUAAUCGGAAUUACUGGGCGUAAAGCGUGCGCAGGCGGUUCGCCAAGUCAGGUGUGAAAUCCCCGGGCUUAACCUGGGAAUUGCGCUUGAAACUAGCGGGCUUGAGUGUGGCAGAGGGGGGUGGAAUUCCACGUGUAGCAGUGAAAUGCGUAGAGAUGUGGAGGAACACCGAUGGCGAAGGCAGCCCCCUGGGUCAACACUGACGCUCAGACACGACAGCAUGGGGAGCGAACGGG